This 491-nucleotide ribosomal RNA is filed under the name uncultured bacterium. RNAcentral's name for it is "partial 16S ribosomal RNA". It matches the Rfam family "Bacterial small subunit ribosomal RNA", at positions 29 to 506 of the family's 1533-position model. The record is from RNAcentral.
AGUGAACGCUGGCGGUAGGCCUAACACAUGCAAGUCGAACGGCAGCACAGUAAGAGCUUGCUCUUACGGGUGGCGAGUGGCGGACGGGUGAGGAAUACAUCGGAAUCUACUUUUUCGUGGGGGAUAACGUAGGGAAACUUACGCUAAUACCGCAUACGACCUACGGGUGAAAGCAGGGGAUCUUCGGACCUUGCGCGAUUGAAUGCGCCGAUGUCGGAUUAGCUAGUUGGCGGGGUAAAGGCCCACCAAGGCGACGCUCCGUAGCUGGGCUGAGAGGAUGAUCAGCCACACUGGAACUGAGACACGGUCCAGACUCCUACGGGAGGCAGCAGUGGGGAAUAUUGGACAAGGGGCGCAAGCCUGAUCCAGCCAUACCGCGUGGGUGAAGAAGGCCUUCGGGUUGUAAAGCCCUUUUGUUGGGAAAGAAAAGCAGCAGGUUAAUACCCCGCUGUUCUGACGGUACCCAAAGAAUAAGCACCGGCUAACUUCGU